This 506-nucleotide ribosomal RNA is filed under the name uncultured bacterium. Its description in RNAcentral is "bacterial SSU rRNA". It matches the Rfam family "Bacterial small subunit ribosomal RNA", at positions 28 to 518 of the family's 1533-position model. The record is from RNAcentral.
GACGAACGCUGGCGGCGUGGAUUAGGCAUGCAAGUCGAACGGUAUCAUCCUUUCGGGGGUGAGAGAGUGGCGAACUGGUGAGUAACACGUAGGUUAUCUACCCUCAAGACGGGGACAACCCAGGGAAACUUGGGCUAAUACCGGAUGUGAGCAACUUUUUAGUUGUUUGAAAGGUGGCGUAAGCUGUCGCUUGGGGAUGAGCCUGCGUCCUAUUAGUUAGUUGGUGAGGUAACGGCUCACCUAGGCAAUGAUAGGUAGGCGGCCUUAACGGGUGGUCGCCCACACUGGGAUUGAGAUACGGCCCAGACUCCUACGGGAGGCAGCAGUCGAGAAUAGUCUACAAAUGGGCCGAAAAGGCUGAUAGUGCGAACGCCGCGUGAACGAAGAAGCCCUUCGGGGUGUAAAGUUCUUUUAUAUGUGAGCAGUGCUUUCUAUGUGAACAGCAAUGGGGAAGAGAUAUUAGCAUAUGAAUAAGCAAACGGCUAAACUCCGUGCCAGCAGCCGAC